Molecule: ribosomal RNA, 2898 nt
Filed under: Serratia symbiotica
Lineage: Bacteria; Pseudomonadati; Pseudomonadota; Gammaproteobacteria; Enterobacterales; Yersiniaceae
Description: 23S ribosomal RNA
Rfam family: Bacterial large subunit ribosomal RNA
Source: RNAcentral
GUUGUAAGGUUAAGCGACCAAGCGUGCACGGUGGAUGCCCAGGCAGUCAGAGGGGAUGAAGCGCCGUAAGGUAAUAUAAACCGUUAUAGCCAGCGACACCCGAAUGAAAAAGCCCAGUGUGAUACGUCACACUAUCGUUAAGUGAAUACAUAGCUUGACGAAGCAAACCGGGAGAACUAAAACAUCUAAGUACUCCGAUAAGUACUCCGAGGAAAAAAAUCAAUCGAGAUCCCCCCAGUAACGGCGAGCAAACGGGGGUCAGCCCAGAACCCAAAUCGCGUCUGGAAAGUCGCGCAGUAAAGUAAAGGGUAAUAGCGCCGUACACAAAAAUGCACUCGCUGUAAGUUCGAUAAGCAGGGUAGGAGACGUGACAUCCUGUCUGAAUACGGGGGCCAUGCUCCAAGGCUAAAUACUCCUGACUGACCGAUAGUAAACCAGUACCGUGAGGGAAAGGCAAAAAGAACCGGGGCGAGGGGAGCGAAAAAAACCUGAAACCGUGUACGUACAAGCAGUGGGAGCACCGCUAAGGUGCGACUGCGUACCUUUUGUAUAAUGGGUCAGCGACUUAUAUUUUUUAGCAAGGUUAACCGGAUAGGGGAGCCGUAGGGAAACCGAGUCCUAACUGGGCUAAAAGUUGCAAGGUAUAGACCGGAAACGCGAUGAUCUAGGCACGGGCAAGUUAAAGGUCAGGUAACGCCACCUCGAAGACCGAACCGACUAAUGUUGAAAAAUUAGCGGAUGGCCUGCGGCUGGGGGUAAAGGGUCAAUCAAAUCGGGAGAUAGCUAGUUCUCCCCGAAAGCUAUUUAGGUAGCGCCUCGUAAAUUCAUCUUUGGGGGUGGAGCACUGUUUCGGCUAGGGGCCAUGCCGGCUUACCAACCCGAUGCAAACUGCGAAUAGCGAAGCAUGUUAUCACGGGAGACACACGGCGGGUACUAACGUCCAUCGUAAAGAGGGAAACCACCCAGGCAGCCAGGAUGCUGGCUUACAGGAUGCUGGCUUAAAAGCAGCCAUCAUUGAAAGAAAGCGUAAAAGGGUAAUAGCUCACUGGUUGAGUCAGCCUGCGCGGAAGAUGUAACGGGGCUAAACCAUGCACCGAAGCUGCGGCAGCGGCGCUGAUGCCUUGUUUAGGUAGGGGAGCGUUCUGUAAGCUGUUGAAGGUGUCCUGUGAGGGACGCUGAAAGUAUCAGAAGUGCGAAUGCUGACAUAAAUAGCGAUAAAGCGGGUGAAAAACCCGCGCUCCGGAAGACCAAGGGUUCCUAUCCAACGUUAAUCAGGUCAGGGCAAGUCGACCCCUAAGGUGAGGCUAAAAAGCGUAGUCGAUAGGCAACAGGUUAGUAUUACUGUACUGGAUGCGACUGCAAAGAUAGGACGAAAAAAGACAGGCAAGCCGGGCGACGGUCGUCCGGUUUAAGCGUGCAGGGGCAGUUUUAGGUAAAUCCGGAACGCCACACAUAAACCCUGAGGCGUGAUGAUGAUGCACAAAGGUGCAGAAGCUGUUGAUGCCCUGCUUCCAGGAAAAGCCUCUAGCAUCAGGUCACCUUUAAUCGUACCCCAAACCGACACAGGCAAUCAGGUAAAGAAUACCGAGGCGCCUUAGAGAACUCAGGUGAGGGAGAUAGGCAAAAUGGUGCCGUAACUUCGGGAGAAGGCACGCUGGCAUGUGGGUGAAUUCCGUAUCGGAGGGAGCUAAAGCGAGUCGCAGAGACCAGCGGACUGCAACUGUUUAAUAAAAACACAGCACUGUGCCAGCACAAAAGUGAACGUAUAUAGUGUGACUCCCGCCCGGUGCUGAAAGGUUAGCUGAUGGGCGUAGCUGCAAGGCAAAGCUCUUGAUAGAAGCCCCAGUAAACGGCCGCCGUAACUAUAAGGGGGUCCUAAGGUGGCGAAAUUCCUUGCCGGGUAAGUUCCGACCCGCAGGAGUGGCGUAAUGACGGCCCGGCUGUCUCAACCCGAGACUCAGUGAAACUGAACUCGCUGUGAAGAUGCAGUGUACCCCUGGCAAGAAAGAAAGACCCCGUAAACCUUUACUAUAGCUUGACACCGAACAUGGAGCCUUGAUGUGUAGGAUAGCUGAGAGGCAGUGAAUCGUAGACGCCAGUCUGGGAGGGGCCACCCGUGAAAUACCACGCUUUAAUGUUUGAUGUUCUAACUUUGCCCCGUGAUCCGGGGCGAGCACAGUGUGCUGUGCGGGUAGUUUGACUGGGGCUGUCUCCUCCCAAAGAGUAAGGGAGAGGCGCGAAAGUCAGCUAAUCACGGUCGGACAUCGUAAGUUUAGUGCAAAGGCAUAAGCUGGCUUGACUGCGCGAGUGAUGGCUCGAGCAGGUACGAAAGUAGGUCUUAGUGAUCCGGUGGUUCUGAAUGAAAGGACCAUCGCUCAACGCAUAAAAGGUACUCCGGGGAUAACAGGCUGAUACCGACCAAAAGUUCAUAUACCGACCAAAAGUUCAUAUCGACGGCAGUGCUUGGCACCUCGAUGUCGGCUCAUCACAUCCUGGGGCUUAAGCCGGUCCCAAGGGUAUGGCCGUUCGCCAUUUAAAGUGGUACGCAAGCUGGGUUUAGAACGUCGUGAGACAGUUCGGUUCACAUCUGCCGUGGGCGUAGGAAAAUUAAGAGGGAUUGCUCCUAGUACGAGAGGACCAGAGUGAACGCACCGCUGGUGUUCGGGCUGUCAUGACAGUGGCAUUGCCCGGUAGCUAAGUACGGAACAGAUAAGCGCUAAAAGCAUCUAAGCGCGAAACAAGCCUCGAGAUGAAUCCUCCCUGGGUCUGAAAGGUCCCUGAAAGCACGCUUAAGACAAAGACGUGAACGUGAAUAGGCUGGGUAUGUAAGAGCAGCUAUGCUCUGAGCUAACCAGUACUAAUGAGCCGCGAGGCCUAACCUUACAACACCGAAGGUGU